Molecule: ribosomal RNA, 247 nt
Filed under: uncultured bacterium
Lineage: Bacteria
Description: partial small subunit ribosomal RNA
Rfam family: Bacterial small subunit ribosomal RNA
Source: RNAcentral
AGAAUCAACGCUGGCGGCGUGCCUAACACAUGCAAGUCGAACGAGAAAGUGGUAGCAAUACCAUGAGUACAGUGGCGCACGGGUGAGUAACACGUGACUAACCUACCCUGGAGUGGGGGAUAACUGAGGGAAACCUUAGCUAAUACCGCAUAAUACCUACGGGUCAAAGGAGCAAUUCGCUUCAGGAGGGGGUCGUGGCCGAUUAGUUAGUUGGCGGGGUAAUGGCCCACCAAGACAGUGAUCGGUA